GCAACAUGGCACCCUAGUCCCAAGUGAAAAUCCACCUGCCCAAAGUUUCCAAAAGUCCUUAAUUUCCAUUGAGUAAUACUUGCAGUGUUAGAGCAAUUGCUUCCACCCUGGACUACAGUAGUGGAAUAUGUAGACUACGAUAAACUGCUGAGGAAAAAAUUGAGGUGGAACUCAAGACUCCCAGAGAAUUUUCAAAAGACGUUAAGUGACAAGAGAUGAAAUCCAGAGUUGAUAAACAUAUAAACAAAAUUCUCUAAUUUAGCCACUUCUCACAUGACUUUUACCACCCAAAUUUAGGAGCCUCUAUUUUUGUAAAUAAAAUUUUACUGGGACACACAACAAAACUCAAACCAUUCUCAACCUCAUUAGUAAUCAGACACAUGUAACUUUAAAUAAAUUACAAAUGACUACCCUAACACAUGUAUUAGAUUGACCAAAAUUAAAUAAUCAGAAAUACCAAGU
This 462-nucleotide long non-coding RNA is filed under the name Macaca mulatta (Rhesus monkey). RNAcentral's name for it is "lncRNA (ENSMMUG00000062624.1)". Lineage: Eukaryota; Metazoa; Chordata; Mammalia; Primates; Cercopithecidae. The record is from RNAcentral.